Molecule: ribosomal RNA, 496 nt
Filed under: uncultured bacterium
Lineage: Bacteria
Description: partial 16S ribosomal RNA
Rfam family: Bacterial small subunit ribosomal RNA
Source: RNAcentral
AUUGAACGCUGGCGGAAUGCUUUACACAUGCAAGUCGAACGGUAGAGGGGGCAACCCCUCGAGAGUGGCGAACGGGUGAGUAAUAUAUCGGAACGUGCCCAGUCGUGGGGGAUAACGUAGCGAAAGUUACGCUAAUACCGCAUACGAUCUAAGGAUGAAAGCGGGGGAUCGCAAGACCUCGCGCGAUUGGAGCGGCCGAUAUCAGAUUAUGUAGUUGGUGGGGUAAAGGCUCACCAAGCCAACGAUCUGUAGCUGGUCUGAGAGGACGACCAGCCACACUGGAAGUGAGACACGGUCCGGACUCCUACGGGAGUCAGCAGUGGGGAAUUUUGGACAAUGGACGCAAGUCUGAUCCAGCCCUUCCGCGUGCAGGAUGAAGGCCCUCGGGUUGUAAACUGCUUUUGUACGGAGCGAAAAGGUCUCUCUUAAUACGGGGGACUCAUGACGGUACCGUAAGAAUAAGCACCGGCUAACUACGUGCCAGCAGCCGCGGUAA